GAAAAGUUAAACAUCGUUGAAUUCUUGUAGGCUUUAGGGAUUCUAGAUGUAGGAUGUCGAAUUGGAAAAUAAGUUACUGAGUCAAUUUUUUUUUUUUAAAUUAAAAUAGGGACACAUAAGAGCAAAAAAAUAAUUUGAUUAAGGCCAAAACUACUUUGCAUCAGUGGUUUCGUACCCCACUCAUUUGUCAUUUUCCCAAGUCAGCGUUCGAUAUAAUCUGACGACCGGAAAUGAAACAUGUAGAGAUGUAGGGGUAGCCAGAGAAACAAGUAAUGGGCCGGUCACUGGAUUGGUAAAAGAGCAUAGGGAAAUAAAAAAUAAUAACACAUUAAAAAUUUGUGAUUAAAUGGCUACCUCCGGCAAAAAUCUUAAAUGGCGACGACAAUGGCUACUUCCUACAACGGCGGCCUCUUUAAUUUGAGUUAGUUCGGUAAGUUUCUGUCAAAAUUCGUAAAUGGGUAAUGGAUUUAUGGGUUUGGUAGUAAUUGUAGAAGAUUAUAGGAUAUAUCUUGUUGAGCGAUUAGACUCGUUAACAUUAGGAAUGAAAUUGGAUUGAAAAUUGACAAAAUGUUUAAUGAAAAUGUGGUUCGUUAAAAAUGGCAAUACAAAUGUUUGCUAAAAUGCCUCAAAGAAUACAGUAUAUUGUGUAGGCUUAAUUUUGGUAUUAUUUUACUUGAAUCAAAAUGUAAGAAUGUUGGCAACUGGUAUUAUCGGUUGAAUAUUGGAAAUAGUAUGGUGUAAUGGAUGGCUAUCAGGGAAAGGUGUAUUCACAGCAAACAGUGGGCCGACAGUGGAGCAAUUAUCGCACAAAGCACAUAAGGUGUGUUUUGUGAGAAAAGUGCAUGUCGCAUAUGUGUUUGGUGCGACGGGUCACCCAUGGCAGAUUAACACAUUAAGUGUUUAUUGUGAUCUAAUUUUUAAAUAAUUUUUAUGUUAUUAACAAAUUAUGUUGUGUUAUUGUUACAAAUACAAUGGAAGAUGAUGACACUGUUGGUUCGUUUGAGAUAUGUAUUGUGGAUGAGUUUAGAGUCAAUGGAAUAUGGAAAAAGAUAGCACAAAUUAGACCAACUGAAGGUAGAGGCCGAAGGUGUCUCCGACAAACGAUGAGCCUAUAAAUAUUAUAGACGCCGAGGAUGGUGGAUAUGGUGCUUAUAAUCUUUGUUUUGAAGAAUAGAAAGAUAUUCACAGUGAAAGAUGUCGUGGAGAGGUUAUAAAUUACACAAGCAGCCUAGCUUAAGUUAGAGGAUGAAGUAAGGUUUCACACAAGGGAUUGGUAGUUGGCAAAUCAAAAAUGAUGUAGAAAAUGUAUACUUAAGUAUGCUGUGGAUUGUAUAUUCGUGGAAUAGAAAUAUUUGUGGCAUAUUUAUUUCCUUAUGUAUUGUCGAUUACAUAUGUAAUAGGUUGAAAGUAGUUCUACAACUUAGGAGGUACCCUACAUGCACAUGACAAAUCUCUUUAGAUUGAGACGAAUUUUCCCAUGAUAAAGUCGUAAAUGGUUGCGAAUGAUUAGGUUAUGUGUUUGUUUAGAGUAAAUAAUUGUCGGAAAAAUAAAUUUAUUUUUAAAGAGAUUUGUCAUGUGCAUGUAGGGUAAUAUACACAUAUGCUUUGCAAGGAUAUUAAAGGAGAUCGUGAGUUGUUCGCAAAGCUGAACAUGUACCACUUACUUGUGUAGUGAUUUCAUAGGAGACAAUAAACGUCUUGGUUUGAACAAUUUACUGUGGUGUGUUUACUAAGGAAUAUUGUUCCAUAUUGAUCCAUAUUUAAUAUAUAGUAAAAGUGAAGAAAUUGAAUAUAUGGUUAUUUUAGAAAGUAUGCACAGUAAAGAAACAAAUAUAUGUAGUAAUAGAAGUAUCCACAUAU
RNAcentral lists this long non-coding RNA (1860 nucleotides) under Citrus sinensis (sweet orange). RNAcentral's name for it is "long non-coding RNA (CSIN_LNC000343)". The record is from RNAcentral. Lineage: Eukaryota; Viridiplantae; Streptophyta; Magnoliopsida; Sapindales; Rutaceae.